AUGAAGCUGCGCUUAUUUCCCGAUUUCCUGAGUAUACAUGGUGAUGAGAUGCAAUCAAUUGUUGAGGAACUCGGCGAUGACCUUGUCCUGGGCGACGGCCUCUUCGCAGCAGGGCUCGAGGAGGUGGAAGGUGUGCCCCUUCCCCGGCGCCUGCCAAAUGUCGGCCUCCCCGCUCCACCCGCUCGCCCUGAGCCGGUCGUAGUAGGCGCGGCCGCGGUCGCGGAGCACGUCGCCCUCGCCGAUGCACACCAGCACACGCCGGCACGCCAGGGCGUCCAGCCCCGGCGCACCGUCCACGAACGGGUUGAUGAGCGGGUCGUCCUCCCCGGUGGUGGUCGGGCACAUGACGCGCCACAGGCUGGCCAGGCUCUCCCGCGCCGCCGGGUCCAGGUCGUCGGAGGCCACCUUAUCGGUGCCGAGGAAGUAGGGGUGGAUCAUGAGGAGGCCGUGGAUCGCGGCGGGGACGGGGUGCUCGGGCGCGAGGCGGUACUCGACGGAGACGACGAGGACGCCGGCGAGCGCGGCGAGGUUGUUGAAGUAGGCGUGGAAGGUGGGGUUGAAGGCGGAGCCGAGGCAGAAGCCGCCGCCGUGGUAGUAGACGAGGACGGGGAGCUUGGCGUUGUCGGGCUUGGCGGGGUCGAUGUGGGGGAGGUAGAGGCGCGCGGAGACCUCGGGGGAGAUGACGCGGUCGCGGGAGGCGACCCCGGUGGCGGCGUCGGCGUGGGCGGAGGCGGCGACGAACUCGGAGCCGAAGUAGCGCUCGACGCGGUUCUUGUAGAUGCGGAUGCAGGGCAUGGACUCGUAGACGAUCUCGUCGUCGGCCGCGGGCGCCGGGGCCGGGAUGGGGACGGCGGCGGCCAUCGCGCGCGCGGGCGAGAUCUGGGCGACGGGGCGACGGUACGGUGGUGGUUGGGACUCCGGGCCGAGGUUGAGGGGACGUGUAGACUUUGCUCUGCUCUGGUCAAGUAG
Molecule: ribosomal RNA, 969 nt
Filed under: Triticum aestivum (bread wheat)
Lineage: Eukaryota; Viridiplantae; Streptophyta; Magnoliopsida; Poales; Poaceae
Description: partial small subunit ribosomal RNA
Source: RNAcentral